GACGAACGCUGGCGGCGUGCUUAACACAUGCAAGUCGAACGGAAAGGCCCUGCUUUUGUGGGGUGCUCGAGUGGCGAACGGGUGAGCAACACGUGAGUAACCUGCCCUUGACUUUGGGAUAACUUCAGGAAACUGGGGCUAAUACCGGAUAGGAGCUCCUGCUGCAUGGUGGGGGUUGGAAAGUUUCGGCGGUUGGGGAUGGACUCGCGGCUUAUCAGCUUGUUGGUGGGGUAGUGGCUUACCAAGGCUUUGACGGGUAGCCGGCCUGAGAGGGUGACCGGCCACAUUGGGACUGAGAUACGGCCCAGACUCCUACGGGAGGCAGCAGUGGGGAAUAUUGCACAAUGGGCGGAAGCCUGAUGCAGCAACGCCGCGUGCGGGAUGACGGCCUUCGGGUUGUAAACCGCUUUCGCCUGUGACGAAGCGUGAGUGACGGUAAUGGGUAAAGAAGCACCGGCUAACUACGU
RNAcentral lists this ribosomal RNA (467 nucleotides) under uncultured bacterium. RNAcentral describes it as "partial 16S ribosomal RNA". It matches the Rfam family "Bacterial small subunit ribosomal RNA", at positions 28 to 506 of the family's 1533-position model. The record is from RNAcentral.